Molecule: long non-coding RNA, 828 nt
Organism: Haliotis rufescens (red abalone)
Lineage: Eukaryota; Metazoa; Mollusca; Gastropoda; Lepetellida; Haliotidae
Exons: 3
Source: RefSeq, a predicted model, not a curated record
GUAUUUUUUCCAAGUGGCGCAUUUAAGCUGAAUCGAAAGUACAGCUGUGUUUCUUGGAAAUCGACUUCAAACGAGACUCUCAUUAUUUCACUGUUACUCACCAACUCGAGACGACAAGUGUUGUGGAUUACAAACUGUCGAUAUGAGUAAAAGACAAGCUUCGUCAUCCAUAAAGCAGAAGCAAGUCACUCAGGCUGCUUUGAUGAGGAAAGUCCAGCGUGACCCCUGCAGAUAUCGAGUUGGAGCCACAAGUGACAUGUCUUCAAGAAUGUCUGGCUACAAGCAUGAUGGAUGCAAAGGGAAGACGGCUUACUAUGCGCCGUCCCAGAACCCUGGGAUGAAAGAGGAUAAGCUCCUCAGCAAACUCCCCGCCAAUCAUCCGCACAACGAUCACAAAUUGAGCAACUACAAUUGCCCUGGUGAAGGUUAUGUGUAUGCCAUCGACAUGAAGAAAUAGUUACAAAGAUGUAACCUGGGGCUUUCAACUCUUUGUCACCCUGACUGUGUGACAUUUGAAUCAUAGGAACUUUCUGUGACAUUCAGGCCUUGAAUGAGAUGUUUUCUUGUUGAAACAGAUGAGCAUUAGGGAUCGAAAAAGUGAUGAAGAAACUGAUUUCAAUUGAAGAUGCAAGUGAGUCUUCGAAAAUGACACUUUAAAGAUGAUUUUGGACACUCAUGCCGGCCAAUACGGCGAUGUAUUAUAUUUGAUAGUAUUGAGUACUCUGUUAAUGUAUUUAUCAUAUUAUUGAUUAUGUUAAUUUGACAUUUCGCUUGAAACCAGAGAUGGAAAGAAAUAGGUACAAAAUUUAUUAAAAACUGCCCCAGUGA